This 45-nucleotide non-coding RNA is filed under the name Schistosoma mansoni. Lineage: Eukaryota; Metazoa; Platyhelminthes; Trematoda; Strigeidida; Schistosomatidae. The record is from RNAcentral.
AUCAAACUGACGAGUCCCAAGCAGAAUGAAACGCGCGUCCUGGAU